UACGGAGGGUGCAAGCGUUAAUCGGAAUUACUGGGCGUAAAGCGCACGUAGGUGGUUUGUUAAGCCCGCUGUGAAAUCCCCGGGCUCAACCUGGGCACUGCAGUUGGAACUGGCAAGCUAGAGUAGGGUAGAGGGGUGUGGAAUUCCAGGUGUAGCGGUGAAAUGCGUAGAUAUCUGGAGGAACAUCAGUGGCGAAGGCGACACCCUGGACUCAUACUGACACUGAGGUGCGAAAGCGUGGGGAGCAAACAGG
This 253-nucleotide ribosomal RNA is filed under the name uncultured bacterium. RNAcentral's name for it is "partial 16S ribosomal RNA". It matches the Rfam family "Bacterial small subunit ribosomal RNA", at positions 524 to 776 of the family's 1533-position model. The record is from RNAcentral.